GUGAAUCAUCGAAUCUUUGAACGCACAUUGCGCCCCCUGGCAUUCCGGGGGGCAUGCCUGUUCGAGCGUCAUUACAACCCUCAAGCUCUGCUUGGUAUUGGGCGCCGUCCUCUCUGCGGACGCGCCUUAAAGACCUCGGCGGUGGCUGUUCAGCCCUCAAGCGUAGUAGAAUACACCUCGCUUUGGAGUGGUUGGCGUCGCCCGCCGGACGAACCUUCUGAACUUUUCUCAAGGUUGACCUCGGAUCAGGUAGGGAUACCCGCUGAACUUAAGCAUAUCAAUAAGCGGAGGA
This 292-nucleotide unclassified non-coding RNA is filed under the name Diplodia sp. RNAcentral describes it as "partial contains 5.8S ribosomal RNA, internal transcribed spacer 2, and large subunit ribosomal RNA". The stretch from base 1 to 71 matches the Rfam family "5.8S ribosomal RNA", at positions 84 to 154 of the family's 154-position model. Lineage: Eukaryota; Fungi; Ascomycota; Dothideomycetes; Botryosphaeriales; Botryosphaeriaceae. The record is from RNAcentral.